Molecule: non-coding RNA, 816 nt
Organism: Xyrichtys novacula (pearly razorfish)
Lineage: Eukaryota; Metazoa; Chordata; Actinopteri; Labriformes; Labridae
Source: the annotation of a GenBank genome assembly
AGCAGAUUGUUAUGUAUUGUGGUUUGUUCCAGGUUAAGGCGCUGUCAGAGGGUCAGAAUAGUAAACAAGAAGGAAAUGAAACUCCCUAAUGCAAAACAGACUCCUCAUAAUUCACUGGAACAGAAUGAAAUCUAAAGCAUAAAGCCUAGCCAGAUGGUGACCGUUGGUGUUAAUUGUUUCAUGAAUAACAAUAAAUAUUAAAAUCAUAUUAACUUUUAUUAUGAAUAAUAAAAGAAACUCUCUUCCCUCCUCAACCAUUCUUCUUUAACAGGAACAUGCAAACAUCUGGUGGAACAUGUGAGACAUGGUGGCUCCUCCUGGUCUACAGGUUCCUGUGUUUGCCAGCUCCACCCAAUGGAUGAUGUCUGUUUCUCUCAAGCUUUCCUCAUGAUGUUAAUGGGGAUGAUUACGUAUUUCCAACAUCCUGGAGGUUUUGACUUCAAAGGCUCUGUGGGAUGGCACAACAUGUAAGUUUCACAGUUAAUCAGUCUCAUGCACAUUUUGAAAAUGACCAUAUUUCUUGUGUAAAUUUUAACAUGAGUUGACACAUCACACCUUUGGGUUGUGAUUUAAAGUGUAUAUUUAUAGCUCCUCAAGUUUUUGGAAGCAACCAUAAAUGUUUAACAUUCUCAACAGUACUAUUUCACAUAUGUUCUCAUAUAGACUUAGAGAAACCCCCACCAGCCCAUAACAUGCAAACAGACAGAGGAAAUACUAUUGUUGUAGACAGGAAAUACUAAGAGUGGGGCCUCACAUGACGCUCCUCAAGACAGAAAUUUAGGAGCAAAGUGACCACAGAAUGGCAGUUUAAGUGAG